GACUCGGUGGCGAAUAGCUCAGUAACACGUGGCCAAACUACCCUUCGGAACACAAUACCCUCGGGAAACUGAGGCUAAUAGUGUAUACCAUACCACCACUGGAAUGAGUGGUAUGCCAAACGCUCCGGCGCCGAAGGAUGUGGCUGCGGCCGAUUAGGUAGACGGUGGGGUAACGGCCCACCGUGCCAAUAAUCGGUACGGGUCAUGAGAGUGAGAACCCGGAGACGGAAUUUGAGACAAGAUUCCGGGCCCUACGGGGCGCAGCAGGCGCGAAACCUUUACACUGCACGACAGUGCGAUAGGGGGAUCCCAAGUGCACAGGCAUAGCGCCUGUGCUUUUCGGUACCGUAAGGUGGUACCAGAAUAAGGGCUGGGCAAGACCGGUGCCAGCCGCCGCGGUAAUACCGGCAGCCCAAGUGAUGGCCGAUCUUAUUGGGCCUAAAGCGUCCGUAGCUGGCCGCGCAAGUCCAUCGGGAAAUCCACCUGCUCAACAGGUGGGCGCCCGGUAGAAACUGCGUGGCUUGGGACCGGAAGGCGCGACGGGUACGUCCGGGGUAGGAGUGAAAUCCCGUAAUCCUGGACGGACCGCCGAUGGCGAAAGCACGUCGCGAGAACGGAUCCGACAGUGAGGGACGAAAGCCAGGGUCUCGAACCGGAUUAGAUACCCGGGUAGUCCUGGCCGUAAACAAUGUCUGCUAGGUGUGGCUCCCACUACGAGUGGGUGCUGUGCCGUAGGGAAGCCGCUAAGCAGACCGCCUGGGAAGUACGUCCGCAAGGAUGAAACUUAAAGGAAUUGGCGGGGGAGCACUACAACCGGAGGAGCCUGCGGUUUAAUUGGACUCAACGCCGGACAUCUCACCAGCAUCGACUGUAAUAAUGACGACCAGGUUGAUGACCUUGUCCGAGUUUCAGAGAGGAGGUGCAUGGCCGCCGUCAGCUCGUACCGUGAGGCGUCCUGUUAAGUCAGGCAACGAGCGAGACCCGCACCCUUACUUGCCAGCAGUACCGCGAGGUAGCUGGGGACAGUAGGGGGACCGCCGUGGCUAACACGGAGGAAGGAACGGGCAACGGUAGGUCAGUAUGCCCCGAAUGUGNUGGGCAACACGCGGGCUACAAUGGUCGAGACAAAGGGUUCCAACUCCGAAAGGAGACGGUAAUCU
This 1160-nucleotide ribosomal RNA is filed under the name Halorubrum sp. RNAcentral describes it as "bacterial SSU rRNA". It matches the Rfam family "Archaeal small subunit ribosomal RNA", at positions 72 to 1230 of the family's 1478-position model. Lineage: Archaea; Methanobacteriati; Methanobacteriota; Halobacteria; Halobacteriales; Haloferacaceae. The record is from RNAcentral.